AGUGAACGCUGGCGGUAGGCCUAACACAUGCAAGUCGAACGGCAACACAGUACGAGCUUGCUCUUACGGGUGGCGAGUGGCGGACGGGUGAGGAAUACAUCGGAAUCUACUUUUUCGUGGGGGUUCACGUAGGUAAACUUACGCUAAUACCGCAUACGCCCCACGGGUGAACACAGGGGCACUUCGGACCUUGCGCGACUGCAUGAGCCGAUGUCGGAUUAGCUAGUUGGUGGGGUAAAGGCCGACCAAGGCGACGAUCCGUAGCUGGUCUGAGAGGAUGAUCAGCCAGACGAGAACUGAGACACGGCCGCGACACCUACGGGGGGAAGCAGUCGGGAAUAUUGGACGAUGGAGGCGAGCCUGAUACAGCCAUACCGCGUAGAUGAAGAAGGAGUUCGGGUUGGAGAGUCCUGUUGUUGGGAAAGAAAAGAAGCAGGUUAAUACCCCGCUAUUCUGACGGUACCCAAAGAAUAAGCACCGGCUAACUUCGUG
Molecule: ribosomal RNA, 492 nt
Filed under: uncultured bacterium
Lineage: Bacteria
Description: partial 16S ribosomal RNA
Rfam family: Bacterial small subunit ribosomal RNA
Source: RNAcentral